UACGUAGGUGGCAAGCGUGUCCGGAUUUAUUGGGUUUAAAGGGUGCGUAGGCGGCUUGAUAAGUCAGUGGUGAAAGCCGAUCGCUUAACGAUCGAACUGCCAUUGAUACUGCCAGGCUUGAGUAUAGUUGAGGUAGGCGGAAUUGACAGUGUAGCGGUGAAAUGCAUAGAUAUUGUCAAGAACACCAAAUUGCGAAGGCAGCUUACUAAAGUAUAACUGACGCGUGAGGCAACGAAAAGUGCGGGGAUCAAACAGG
RNAcentral lists this ribosomal RNA (256 nucleotides) under uncultured bacterium. RNAcentral's name for it is "partial 16S ribosomal RNA". It matches the Rfam family "Bacterial small subunit ribosomal RNA", at positions 524 to 776 of the family's 1533-position model. The record is from RNAcentral.